Molecule: long non-coding RNA, 852 nt
Organism: Armigeres subalbatus
Lineage: Eukaryota; Metazoa; Arthropoda; Insecta; Diptera; Culicidae
Exons: 4
Source: RefSeq, a predicted model, not a curated record
UUUUGUUUUGCAGUUGGUGAAAAUAAAAAAAAAACAAACAUGCAGGACGCUUCCUUUUUGCUGCUUUCCGUUUCGUUAGGGGAUUCUGCCAAGGGAUUUAGGGUGGUUCAAUGGCCGCUGUGCCGUGUAUUGAAGCUGACUGAAAACUGCAGCCUGCCUUAGCAUGCAUCUCAUUGAUAUGUGAUUAUAAGCAGCAGGUUCCAGAAUUCGUAAUGAGAAUGGAACAUAUCUCAGUCUGCAGAGGCACUCAGCAGAAGCAGAACAUCUUGAUUGGAAUUGACCGAAACUUAGCAGCUCAUCCUGCUCCCCUUGCCAGUUAUCGAGUCGGGCUUCCGGGACAACAGCAAGCUAAUGGAAUAACAACCGAUAUUCAUAAACCAGGUGUUGAACUAUGGAACUUUAUACCACGCACAUCAUUCACCAAUGUAAGCAAAGCAACAAAAUAGGAAAGAGCAAGUGGAAAUAUACGAUAGCAUGCUAACCGUAAUGCAUUCCCGAUGCUUGCCAUCUGCGCCAAGGAUUUGCAAGAGUAGUAUAAUAGCGCAUAAUAUUGAAAUCAUUCCAACGAUAGCGCUCGAAGAUUUUAUAUAGUAGACAUGAGGAGUGAUCUGCCGACAUUAUCCCAAGAGGUCCGUGAUAUUCCGAUCAGGAUUCAACAUGCAAGCAGAAAAUAAGAAACACCAGAUAAUCGUUUUAUUGGUCCGACUGGGAGGCCUAAACAAAACCUGCCACAAGAAAUAAAAAACAAAUUAUAUUGUAUUUCUAUUGUAAUACUGCAGUGGUUUUUAUUCUAAAUCCUAUUGUACUUCCAUGGUAAAACAAUAAAAAAAGUAAUAGAAAACAUUUACAACA